GACGAACGCUGGCGGCGUGCUUAACACAUGCAAGUCGAACGGAAAGGCCCUGCUUUUGUGGGGUGCUCGAGUGGCGAACGGGUGAGUAACACGUGAGUAACCUGCCCUUGACUUUGGGAUAACUUCAGGAAACUGGGGCUAAUACCGGAUAGGAGCUCCUGCUGCAUGGUGGGGGUUGGAAAGUCUCGGCGGUUGGGGAUGGACUCGCGGCUUAUCCGCUUGUUGGUGGGGUAGUGGCUUACCAAGGCUUUGACGGGUAGCCGGCCUGAGAGGGUGACCGGCCACAUUGGGACUGAGAUACGGCCCAGACUCCUACGGGAGGCAGCAGUGGGGAAUAUUGCACAAUGGGCGGAAGCCUGAUGCAGCAACGCCGCGUGCGGGAUGACGGCCUUCGGGUUGUAAACCGCUUUCGCCUGUGACGAAGCGUGAGUGACGGUAAUGGGUAAAGAAGCACCGGCUAACUACGUG
Molecule: ribosomal RNA, 468 nt
Filed under: uncultured bacterium
Lineage: Bacteria
Description: partial 16S ribosomal RNA
Rfam family: Bacterial small subunit ribosomal RNA
Source: RNAcentral